Molecule: ribosomal RNA, 543 nt
Filed under: uncultured bacterium
Lineage: Bacteria
Description: partial 16S ribosomal RNA
Rfam family: Bacterial small subunit ribosomal RNA
Source: RNAcentral
UGGGGAAUUUUGGACAAUGGGCGAAAGCCUGAUCCAGCAAUGCCGCGUGUGUGAAGAAGGCCUUCGGGUUGUAAAGCACUUUUGUCCGGAAAGAAAUCCUUGGCUCUAAUACAGUCGGGGGAUGACGGUACCGGAAGAAUAAGCACCGGCUAACUACGUGCCAGCAGCCGCGGUAAUACGUAGGGUGCAAGCGUUAAUCGGAAUUACUGGGCGUAAAGCGUGCGCAGGCGGUUUGCUAAGACCGAUGUGAAAUCCCCGGGCUCAACCUGGGAACUGCAUUGGUGACUGGCAGGCUAGAGUAUGGCAGAGGGGGGUAGAAUUCCACGUGUAGCAGUGAAAUGCGUAGAGAUGUGGAGGAAUACCGAUGGCGAAGGCAGCCCCCUGGGCCAAUACUGACGCUCAUGCACGAAAAGCGUGGGGAGCAAAACAGGAUUAGAUACCCUGGUAGUCCACGCCCUAAAACGAUGUCAACUAGUUGUUGGGGAUUCAUUUCCUUAGUAACGUAGCUAACGCGUGAAGUUGACCGCCUGGGGAGUACGGUCG